This 497-nucleotide ribosomal RNA is filed under the name uncultured bacterium. Its description in RNAcentral is "partial 16S ribosomal RNA". It matches the Rfam family "Bacterial small subunit ribosomal RNA", at positions 28 to 507 of the family's 1533-position model. The record is from RNAcentral.
GAUGAACGCUGGCGGCGUGCCUAAUACAUGCAAGUCGAGCGAACGGACGAGAAGCUUUCUUCUCUGAUGUUAGCGGCGGACGGGUGAGUAACAAGUGGAUAACAUACCUCUACGACUUGGAUAACUUCGGGAAACCGGAGCUAAUACCGGAUGAUAUUUUGAACCGCAUGGUUCAAAAGUGAAAGAAGGUCUUGCUGUCACUUAUAGAUGGAUCCGCGCUGCAUUAGCUAGUUGGUAAGGUAACGGCUUACCAAGGCAACGAUGCAUAGCCGACCUGAGAGGGUGAUCGGCCACACUGGAACUGAGACACGGUCCAGACUCCUACGGGAGGCAGCAGUAGGGAAUCUUCCGCAAUGGGCGAAAGCCUGACGGAGCAACGCCGCGUGAGUGAUGAAGGUCUUCGGAUCGUAAAACUCUGUUAUUAGGGAAGAACAUAUGUGUAAGUAACUGUGCACAUCUUGACGGUACCUAAUCAGAAAGCCACGGCUAACUACGUG